Molecule: ribosomal RNA, 497 nt
Filed under: uncultured bacterium
Lineage: Bacteria
Description: partial 16S ribosomal RNA
Rfam family: Bacterial small subunit ribosomal RNA
Source: RNAcentral
GAUGAACGCUGGCGGCGUGCCUAAUACAUGCAAGUCGAGCGAACAGACGAGGAGCUUGCUCCUCUGACGUUAGCGGCGGACGGGUGAGUAACACGUGGAUAACCUACCUAUAAGACUGGGAUAACUUCGGGAAACCGGAGCUAAUACCGGAUAAUAUAUUGAACCGCAUGGUUCAAUAGUGAAAGACGGUUUUGCUGUCACUUAUAGAUGGAUCCGCGCCGCAUUAGCUAGUUGGUAAGGUAACGGCUUACCAAGGCAACGAUGCGUAGCCGACCUGAGAGGGGGAGAGGACAAACUGGAAAUGAGACAAGGGCAAGAAUAAUAAGGGAGGCAGAAGGAGGGAAGAGUGAGAAAUGGGAGAAAGAGUGAAGGAGAAAAGAAGCGUGAGGGAUGAAGGUAUUCGGAUAGUAAAACUAUGUGAUGAGGGAAGAACAAAGGUGUAAGGAACUAUGCACGGCUUGAAGGUACCUAAUCAGAAAGACACGGCUAACUACGUG